This 253-nucleotide ribosomal RNA is filed under the name uncultured bacterium. RNAcentral's name for it is "partial 16S ribosomal RNA". It matches the Rfam family "Bacterial small subunit ribosomal RNA", at positions 524 to 776 of the family's 1533-position model. The record is from RNAcentral.
UACGUAGGUGGCAAGCGUUACCCGGAUUUACUGGGCGUAAAGAGCGCGCAGGCGGUCGUUCAAGUCGCGUGUGAAAGCCCCCGGCUCAACUGGGGAGGGUCACGCGAUACUGAUCGACUCGAAGGCAGGAGAGGGUAGUGGAAUUCCCGGUGUAGUGGUGAAAUGCGUAGAUAUCGGGAGGAACACCAGUGGCGAAGGCGACUACCUGGCCUGUUCUUGACGCUGAGGCGCGAAAGCUAGGGGAGCAAACGGG